RNAcentral lists this ribosomal RNA (720 nucleotides) under uncultured bacterium. RNAcentral describes it as "bacterial SSU rRNA". It matches the Rfam family "Bacterial small subunit ribosomal RNA", at positions 72 to 788 of the family's 1533-position model. The record is from RNAcentral.
CGCGGGGCAACCUGGCGGCGAGUGGCGAACGGGUGAGUAAUAUAUCGGAACGUACCCUGGAGUGGGGGAUAACGUAGCGAAAGUUACGCUAAUACCGCAUACGAUCUAAGGAUGAAAGUGGGGGCUUCGCAAGAACCUCAUGCUCCUGGAGCGGCCGAUAUCUGAUUAGCUAGUUGGUAGGGUAAAAGCCUACCAAGGCAUCGAUCAGUAGCUGGUCUGAGAGGACGACCAGCCACACUGGAACUGAGACACGGUCCAGACUCCUACGGGAGGCAGCAGUGGGGAAUUUUGGACAAUAGGCGCAAGCCUGAUCCAGCAAUGCCGCGUGAGUGAAGAAGGCCUUCGGGUUGUAAAGCUCUUUUGUCAGGGAAGAAACGGUGAGGGCUAAUAUCCUUUGCUAAUGACGGUACCUGAAGAAUAAGCACCGGCUAACUACGUGCCAGCAGCCGCGGUAAUACGUAGGGUGCAAGCGUUAAUCGGAAUUACUGGGCGUAAAGCGUGCGCAGGCGGUUUUGUAAGUUUGUCGUGAAAGCCCCGGGCUCAACCUGGGAAUUGCGAUGAAGACUGCAAGGCUUGAAUCUGGCAGAGGGGGGUAGAAUUCCACGUGUAGCAGUGAAAUGCGUAGAGAUGUGGAGGAACACCGAUGGCGAAGGCAGCCCCCUGGGUCAAGAUUGACGCUCAUGCACGAAAGCGUGGGGAGCAAACAGGAUUAGAUACCCU